RNAcentral lists this ribosomal RNA (714 nucleotides) under Idiomarina fontislapidosi. Its description in RNAcentral is "bacterial SSU rRNA". It matches the Rfam family "Bacterial small subunit ribosomal RNA", at positions 73 to 783 of the family's 1533-position model. The record is from RNAcentral. Lineage: Bacteria; Pseudomonadati; Pseudomonadota; Gammaproteobacteria; Alteromonadales; Idiomarinaceae.
AGCUUGCUUCUUUGCUGACGAGCGGCGGACGGGUGAGUAAUACUUGGGAACUUGCCUCUAGGCGGGGGACAACCGCUGGAAACGGUGGCUAAUACCGCAUAAUGUCUACGGACCAAAGUGGGGGACCUUCGGGCCUCACACCUAGAGAUGGGCCCAAGUGGGAUUAGCUAGUUGGUGAGGUAAAGGCUCACCAAGGCGACGAUCCCUAGCUGUUCUGAGAGGAUGAUCAGCCACACUGGGACUGAGACACGGCCCACACUCCUACGGGAGGCAGCAGUGGGGAAUAUUGCACAAUGGGCGCAAGCCUGAUGCAGCCAUGCCGCGUGUGUGAAGAAGGCCUUCGGGUUGUAAAGCACUUUCAGUGGUGAGGAAGGUCAGUAAGUUAAUAGCUUGCUGAAUUGACGUUAGCCACAGAAGAAGCACCGGCUAACUCCGUGCCACCAGCCGCGGUAAUACGGAGGGUGCAAGCGUUAAUCGGAAUUACUGGGCGUAAAGCGUACGUAGGCGGUGUGUUAAGCAAGAUGUGAAAGCCCCGGGCUCAACCUGGGAAUUGCAUUUUGAACUGGCACGCUAGAGUCCUGAAGAGGGUGGUAGAAUUUCCAGUGUAGCGGUGAAAUGCGUAUAUAUUGUGAAGGAAUACCAGUGGCGAAGGCGGCCACCUGGUCAGACACUGACGCUGAGGUACGAAAGCGUGGGGAGCAAACAGGAUUACAU